This 36-nucleotide ribosomal RNA is filed under the name Chenopodium neomexicanum. Lineage: Eukaryota; Viridiplantae; Streptophyta; Magnoliopsida; Caryophyllales; Amaranthaceae. The record is from RNAcentral.
GGUGACCUCCUGGGAAGUCCUCGUGUUACGCCCCUU